This 112-nucleotide small nuclear RNA is filed under the name Castor canadensis (American beaver). The record is from RNAcentral. Lineage: Eukaryota; Metazoa; Chordata; Mammalia; Rodentia; Castoridae.
GUGCUAAGCUUGCUUUGGCAGCACAUAUAUUAAAAAUUGAAAUGAUGCAGAAAAAAUUAGUACAGUCCCUGCACAAGGUGACAUGAAAAUUUGUGUAGUGUUCCAUAAAGUU